This 481-nucleotide ribosomal RNA is filed under the name uncultured bacterium. RNAcentral's name for it is "bacterial SSU rRNA". It matches the Rfam family "Bacterial small subunit ribosomal RNA", at positions 378 to 852 of the family's 1533-position model. The record is from RNAcentral.
CAACCCUGAUCCAGCCAUGCCGCGUGCGGGAAGAAGGCCUUCGGGUUGUAAACCGCUUUUGUCAGGGAAGAAACGCGCUGGGCUAAUACCUCGGCGUAAUGACGGUACCUGAAGAAUAAGCACCGGCUAACUACGUGCCAGCAGCCGCGGUAAUACGUAGGGUGCAAGCGUUAAUCGGAAUUACUGGGCGUAAAGCGUGCGCAGGCGGCUUUGCAAGACAGAUGUGAAAUCCCCGGGCUUAACCUGGGAACUGCAUUUGUGACUGCAUGGCUGGAGUGCGGCAGAGGGGGAUGGAAUUCCGCGUGUAGCAGUGAAAUGCGUAGAUAUGCGGAGGAACACCGAUGGCGAAGGCAAUCCCCUGGGCCUGCACUGACGCUCAUGCACGAAAGCGUGGGGAGCAAACAGGAUUAGAUACCCUGGUAGUCCACGCCCUAAACGAUGUCAACUGGUUGUUGGACGGCUUGCUGUUCAGUAACGAAGC